Molecule: ribosomal RNA, 485 nt
Filed under: uncultured bacterium
Lineage: Bacteria
Description: partial 16S ribosomal RNA
Rfam family: Bacterial small subunit ribosomal RNA
Source: RNAcentral
AUUGAACGCUGGCGGCAGGCUUAACACAUGCAAGUCGAGCGGGGAAAGGUAGCUUGCUACCUGACCUAGCGGCGGACGGGUGAGUAAUGCUUAGGAAUCUGCCUAUUAGUGGGGGACAACAUCUCGAGAGGGAUGCUAAUACCGCAUACGUCCUACGGGAGAAAGCAGGGGACCUUCGGGCCUUGCGCUACUAGAUGGGCCUAAGUCGGAUUAGCUAGUUGGUGGGGUAAAGGCCUACCAAGGCGACGAUCUGUAGCGGGUCUGAGAGGAUGAUCCGCCACACUGGGACGGAGACACGGCCCAGACUCCGACGGGAGGCAGCAGUGGGGAAUAUUGGACAAGGGGGGGAACCCUGAUCCAGCCAUGCCGCGUGUGUGAAGAAGGCCUUUGGGUUGUAAAGCACUUUAAGCGAGGAGGAGGCUACCGAGAUUAAUACUCUUGGAUAGUGGACGUUACUCGCAGAAUAAGCACCGGCUAACUCGGUG